Molecule: ribosomal RNA, 425 nt
Filed under: uncultured bacterium
Lineage: Bacteria
Description: partial 16S ribosomal RNA
Rfam family: Bacterial small subunit ribosomal RNA
Source: RNAcentral
GUGGGGAAUAUUGGACAAUGGGCGAAAGCCUGAUCCAGCCAUGCCGCGUGAGUGAUGAAGGCCCUAGGGUUGUAAAGCUCUUUCACCGGGGAAGAUAAUGACGGUACCCGGAGAAGAAGCCCCGGCUAACUUCGUGCCAGCAGCCGCGGUAAUAAGAAGGGGGCUAGCGUUGUUCGGAAUUACUGGGCGUAAAGCGCACGUAGGCGGAUCAGUCAGUUAGGGGUGAAAUCCCAGGGCUCAACCCUGGAACUGCCUUUAAUACUGCUGAUCUAGAGUUCGAGAGAGGUGAGUGGAAUUCCGAGUGUAGAGGUGAAAUUCGUAGAUAUUCGGAGGAACACCAGUGGCGAAGGCGGCUCACUGGCUCGAUACUGACGCUGAGGUGCGAAAGCGUGGGGAGCAAACAGGAUUAGAUACCCCGGUAGUCC